This 330-nucleotide ribosomal RNA is filed under the name uncultured bacterium. RNAcentral describes it as "bacterial SSU rRNA". It matches the Rfam family "Bacterial small subunit ribosomal RNA", at positions 568 to 898 of the family's 1533-position model. The record is from RNAcentral.
UGUGUAGGCGGUUCUUUAAGUUUGGUGUGAAAUCUCCCGGCUCAACUGGGAGGGAGCGCCGAAUACUGAGGGACUAGAGUACGGGAGAGGAAAGUGGAAUUCCUGGUGUAGCGGUGAAAUGCGUAGAUAUCAGGAGGAACACCGGUGGUGUAGACGGCUUUCUGGACCGUAACUGACGCUGAGACACGAAAGCGUGGGUAGCAAACAGGACUAGAUACCCUGGUAGUCCACGCCCUAAACGAUGCAUAUUUGGUGUGGGCAGUUCAUUCUGUCCGUGCCGGAGCUAACGCGUUAAAUAUGCCGCCUGGGGAGUACAGUCGCAAGGCUGAA